CCGUUUCGAGAAAAGCGGGGACUGCUGUUUUUCGACCUUUCGGGGUCGAGAUUCUUGGUGGAAACCGCGUUAAUCGCAGUGGCUUGAACCGGGCAAAAGUCGUAACAAGGUUUCCGUAGGUGAACCUGCGGAAGGAUCAU
RNAcentral lists this ribosomal RNA (140 nucleotides) under Heterakis gallinarum. RNAcentral describes it as "partial 18S ribosomal RNA". It matches the Rfam family "Eukaryotic small subunit ribosomal RNA", at positions 1694 to 1829 of the family's 1831-position model. Lineage: Eukaryota; Metazoa; Nematoda; Chromadorea; Rhabditida; Heterakidae. The record is from RNAcentral.